UACGUAGGGGGCGAGAGUUGUCCGGAUUUACUGGGUGUAAAGGGUGCUCAGGUGGAUUUGUAAGUCAGAGGUGAAAUCCCAAAGCUCAACUUUGGAGCUGCCUUUGAUACUGCAAGUCUGGAGUUUGGGAGAGGGUAAUGGAAUAUCUGGUGUAGCAGUGAAAUGCGUAGAUAUCAGAUAGAACACCAAUGGCGAAGGCAGUUGCCUGGCCCAAAACUGACGCUAAAGCACGACAGUGUGUGGAGCUAACAGG
Molecule: ribosomal RNA, 253 nt
Filed under: uncultured bacterium
Lineage: Bacteria
Description: partial 16S ribosomal RNA
Rfam family: Bacterial small subunit ribosomal RNA
Source: RNAcentral